This 548-nucleotide ribosomal RNA is filed under the name Arxiozyma telluris. RNAcentral's name for it is "eukaryotic LSU rRNA". It matches the Rfam family "Eukaryotic large subunit ribosomal RNA", at positions 67 to 629 of the family's 3401-position model. The record is from RNAcentral. Lineage: Eukaryota; Fungi; Ascomycota; Saccharomycetes; Saccharomycetales; Saccharomycetaceae.
AACCGGGAUUGCCUCAGUAGCGGCGAGUGAAGCGGCAAGAGCUCAAAUUUGAAAUCUAGCGCCUUCGGUGCUCGAGUUGUAAUUUGUAGAGUGGAUCCUUGGGGCCGCUCCUUGCCUAUGUUCCUUGGAACAGGACGUCAUGGAGGGUGAAAACCCCGUGUGGCGAGGGGUGCGGCUCCGUGUAAGGGCUGCUCGAAGAGUCGAGUUGUUUGGGAAUGCAGCUCUAAGUGGGUGGUAAAUUCCAUCUAAAGCUAAAUACUGGCGAGAGACCGAUAGCGAACAAGUACAGUGAUGGAAAGAUGAAAAGAACUUUGAAAAGAGAGUGAAAAAGUACGUGAAAUUGUUGAAAGGGAAGGGCAUUUGAUCAGACAUGGUGUUUUGCGCCCCCUGCUCCUUGUGGGCGGGGGACUCUCGCAGCUCACUGGGCCAGCAUCAGUUUUUGCGGCCGGACAAAGCCGGAGGAAUGUGGCUUCCCUCGGGAAGUGUUAUAGCCUACGGGAACGCGGCCAGCGGGGACUGAGGAACGCGACUUUUGUCAAGGAUGCUGG